Molecule: long non-coding RNA, 788 nt
Filed under: Mytilus galloprovincialis (Mediterranean mussel)
Lineage: Eukaryota; Metazoa; Mollusca; Bivalvia; Mytilida; Mytilidae
Source: RNAcentral
GCAAUAGCAAGAAAUCUUCAGUUGCACAGUAUUGUGCAAUAGCAAGAAAUUUUCAAUUGCACAGUAUUGCGCAAUAGCAAGAAAUCUUCAAUUGCACAGUAUUGUGCAAUAGCAAAUAUUUUCAAUUCCACAGUAUUGCGCAAUAGCAAGAAAUAUCUAAUUGCACAAUAUUGUGCAAUAGCAAGAAAUUUUCAAUUGGAGUUAUGUUUCUUUGUUCAGAAUAGUAGUUGAAUCAACUUAAAUCAUUGUUUUAUACAAUAUACAAUGUAUAUUCACUUUUACUACCAACCAAUCUUUACCAUUCAGUGAUAACAAGCACUUUAUUUUACAUUUUAAUAUUUUAUGAUGUAUUUAAAAGAGUAGUUAUUGUUGCAAACUCCAUUAGAAAUUUGAAUUGAUAUCAGUUUUGGAAAAAGGGAAAGGGGGAUGUGAAAAAAAAAUGGGGGGGGUUAAAUUUUUCUCAUAUCAGAUUUCAUAAAUAAAAAGAACAUUUCUUCAAACAUUUUUUUGAGAGGAUUAAUAUUCAACAGCAUAGUGAAUUGCUCAAAGGCAAAAAAAAAAUUAAGUUCAUUAGACCACAUUCAUUCUGUGUCAGAAACCUAUGCUGUGUCAACUAUUUAAUUUUAGAUUUAAAUAAGUUUGAAGAAGAAAUCUUUAAUUGAUUUGUAAAAUCUUGACAUUUGUUUUGUGUAAAAAACCCAUAUAAUGUCAAAAAUUUGAUCACAAUCCAAAUUCAGAGCUGUAUCACGCUUGAAUGUUUUGUCCAUACUUGCCCCAACUGUUCAGGC